UCAGGAUGAACGUUGGCGGUAUGCCUUAUACAUGCAAGUCGAACGGAGACUGUAGCAAUACUGUCUUAGUGGAGAACGGGUGAGUAACGCGUUGGUGAUCUGCCCUGAAGUGUGGAAUAACGUUCCGAAAGGAUCGCUAAUACCGCAUGGUCUCUCAAUGUUUAGAAAGUUGAGAGUAAAGGAUUUAUUCGCUUCAGGAGGAGCCUGCGUCCCAUCAGCUAGUUGGUAGGGUAACGGCCUACCAAGGCUAUGACGGGUAGGGGACCUGAGAGGGUGGCCCCCCACAAUGGAACUGAAACACGGUCCAUACACCUACGGGUGGCAGCAGUAGGGAAUAUUAGUAAUGGGCGAAAGCCUGAACUAGCAAUACCGCGUGUGCGAAGAAGGCCUUCGGGUUGUAAAGCACUUUUUGGGAGGACGAGGAAGGACGGUACUCCCAGAAUAAGUCUCGGCUAACUACGUGCCAGCAGCCGCGGUAACACGUAGGAGGCGAACGUUAUCCGGAUUUACUGGGCGUAAAGCGCGUGUAGGUGGUUCGGUAAGUAGGGCGUGAAAGCUCCCGGCUCAACUGGGAGAGGCCGUUCUAAACUGCCGAGCUAGAGGAUGGUAGAGGGAGGUGGAAUUCCGAGUGUAGCGGUGGAAUGCGCAGAUAUUCGGAGGAACACCAGUGGCGAAGGCGGCCUCCUGGACCAUUCCUGACACUCAGACGCGAAAGCUAGGGUAGCAAACGGGAUUAGAGACCCCGGUAGUCCUAGCCCUAAACGAUGUUGACUAGGCGUCGGUGGCUUAAUCGCCAUCGGUGUCCAAGCUAACGCGAUAAGUCAACCGCCUGGGGACUACGACCGCAAGGUUAAAACUCAAAGGAA
RNAcentral lists this ribosomal RNA (866 nucleotides) under uncultured bacterium. RNAcentral describes it as "bacterial SSU rRNA". It matches the Rfam family "Bacterial small subunit ribosomal RNA", at positions 24 to 909 of the family's 1533-position model. The record is from RNAcentral.